This 358-nucleotide ribosomal RNA is filed under the name Haynesina sp. S16. RNAcentral describes it as "SSU rRNA". It matches the Rfam family "Eukaryotic small subunit ribosomal RNA", at positions 1198 to 1436 of the family's 1831-position model. The record is from RNAcentral. Lineage: Eukaryota; Foraminifera; Rotaliida; Nonionidae.
ACUCACGCGGGAAUCUUACCGGGUCCGGACACACUGAGGAUUGACAGACAAAUACACACACUUUUACGGUGUGUGCAUGAAAUAUGCUAGUUCUUUCAUGAUUAUGUGAUAGGUGGUGCAUGGCCGUUCUUAGUUCGUGGAGUGAUCUGUCUGCUUAAUUGCGUUUCACUAAAGGCACAUACACAUAAUAUUGAUGUGUUGUGUAUAAUUUAUAAUUAUAUCGCAUACACACAUAUUAUAUUGUGCUUUGAAAGCAACGAACGUGACCGCAACCUCUUGUUGCCUGUAUAUAUGUGUAUUUUAUACACACCACAGGCUAUUAUAAACUAGAGGGACCGCUGUUACUUUCUUUUAAACC